CUCCACAUGUAACUGUUUCCUGUUCAGUCGGUAAGGCCCUCUGUUUUAAUUAUCAAGAACUAGGAGGAAUAAUUUGCCAUGUCUCCCAUGCUUCAGCAUCUCACUAAAGACCACUGGCAUCACCUUCUGUGUGUGUCUGGAAUAAGGGUUAGCGCCAGGCUAGCCUAGCUAGCGCUGAGCAAUGAGCAUUACCACUAAUGAAUUGAAUUGUAGGGGACAAUUGUGUGUGAAAAGCACUGAAUUGACAAAGACAGUCAGUCAAGGGGUUUCGCUAAGGAUGAAAUUAAAAUCUGUGCUGCGGCGGGCGAAUAAGGCUUAUGCAGCUUGCUGCUUUAGUGGGAAUGCAUUAAUACCGGAGGAGAGGAGAGAAGGAGCGUUUGCAUUUGCUUUGCAAUAGUGAAAUGUUGAUUUCCCCUGAGGUAUUUAAAGUGAUUUGACCCAGUCAUUCUUUUAAAUCACAGACAGGAGAUGAUAAAUGUCCUACUAAUGAGGCCUGUGUAUUUUAUCUCUCACUCUGUCUCACUCCUGCUAGGUACACUCCUCCUGCUAGGUACACUCCUCCUGUAGGGACACAGUCCUCCUGCUAGGUACACUCCUCCUGCUAUGUACACUCCUCCUGCUAAGUACACUCCUCCUGUAGGGACACAGUCCUCCUGCUAGGUACAGUCCUCCUGCUAGGUACACUCCUCCUGUAGGGA
RNAcentral lists this long non-coding RNA (698 nucleotides) under Salmo salar (Atlantic salmon). RNAcentral describes it as "lncRNA (ENSSSAG00000095605.1)". Lineage: Eukaryota; Metazoa; Chordata; Actinopteri; Salmoniformes; Salmonidae. The record is from RNAcentral.